GACGAACGCUGGCGGCGUGCUUAACACAUGCAAGUCGAACGGAAAGGCCCUGCUUUUGUGGGGUGCUCGAGUGGCGAACGGGUGAGUAACACGUGAGUAACCUGCCCUUGACUUUGGGAUAACUUCAGGAAACUGGGGCUAAUACCGGAUAGGAGCUCCUGCUGCAUGGUGGUGGUUGGAAAGUUUCGGCGGUUGGGGAUGGACUCGCGGCUUAUCAGCUUGUUGGUGGGGUAGUGGCUUACCAAGGCUUUGACGGGUAGCCGGCCUGAGAGGGUGACCGGCCACAUUGGGACUGAGAUACGGCCCAGACUCCUACGGGAGGCAGCAGGGGGGAAUAUUGCACAAUGGGCGGAAGCCUGAUGCAGCAACGCCGCGUGCGGGAUGACGGCCUUCGGGUUGUAAACCGCUGUCGCCUGUGACGAAGCGUGAGUGACGGUAAUGGGUAAAGAAGCACCGGCUAACUACGUG
RNAcentral lists this ribosomal RNA (468 nucleotides) under uncultured bacterium. Its description in RNAcentral is "partial 16S ribosomal RNA". It matches the Rfam family "Bacterial small subunit ribosomal RNA", at positions 28 to 507 of the family's 1533-position model. The record is from RNAcentral.